This 497-nucleotide ribosomal RNA is filed under the name uncultured bacterium. RNAcentral describes it as "partial 16S ribosomal RNA". It matches the Rfam family "Bacterial small subunit ribosomal RNA", at positions 28 to 507 of the family's 1533-position model. The record is from RNAcentral.
GACGAACGCUGGCGGCGUGCCUAAUACAUGCAAGUUGAGCGCUGACGGUUGGUACUUGUACCAACUGGAUGAGCAGCUAACGGGUGAGUAACGCGUGGGGCAUCUGCCUUUGAGCGGGGGACAACAUUUGGAAACGAAUGCUAAUACCGCAUAAAAACUUUAAACACAAGAUUUAAGUUUGAAAGAUGCAAUUGCAUCACUCAAAGAUGAUCCCGCGUUGUAUUAGCUAGUUGGUGAGGUAAAGGCUCACCAAGGCGAUGGUACAUAGCCGACCUGAGUGGGUGAUCGGCCACAUCGGGACUGGGACACGGCCCAAACUCCCACGGGGAGCAGCAGGUGGGGAUCUUCGGUAAUGGAGGAAAGUCUGACCGAGCAACGCCGCGGGAGGGAAGAAGGUUUUCGGAUCGUAAAACUCUGUUGGUAGAGAAGAACAUUGGUGAGAGUGGAAAGCUCAUCAAGUGACGGUAACUACCCAGAAAGGGACGGCUAACUACGUG